RNAcentral lists this ribosomal RNA (657 nucleotides) under Klebsiella pneumoniae. RNAcentral describes it as "partial 23S ribosomal RNA". It matches the Rfam family "Bacterial large subunit ribosomal RNA", at positions 147 to 847 of the family's 2925-position model. The record is from RNAcentral. Lineage: Bacteria; Pseudomonadati; Pseudomonadota; Gammaproteobacteria; Enterobacterales; Enterobacteriaceae.
ACUAUCGUUAACUGAAUACAUAGGUUAACGAGGCGAACCGGGGGAACUGAAACAUCUAAGUACCCCGAGGAAAAGAAAUCAACCGAGAUUCCCCCAGUAGCGGCGAGCGAACGGGGAGCAGCCCAGAGUCUGAAUCAGCUUGUGUGUUAGUGGAACGGUCUGGAAAGUCCGACGGUACAGGGUGAUAGUCCCGUACACCAAAAUGCACAGGCUGUGAACUCGAAGAGUAGGGCGGGACACGUGGUAUCCUGUCUGAAUAUGGGGGGACCAUCCUCCAAGGCUAAAUACUCCUGACUGACCGAUAGUGAACCAGUACCGUGAGGGAAAGGCGAAAAGAACCCCGGCGAGGGGAGUGAAAAAGAACCUGAAACCGUGUACGUACAAGCAGUGGGAGCACCUUCGGGUGUGACUGCGUACCUUUUGUAUAAUGGGUCAGCGACUUAUAUUCUGUAGCAAGGUUAACCGUAUAGGGGAGCCGCAGGGAAACCGAGUCUUAACUGGGCGUUAAGUUGCAGGGUAUAGACCCGAAACCCGGUGAUCUAGCCAUGGGCAGGUUGAAGGUUGGGUAACACUAACUGGAGGACCGAACCGACUAAUGUUGAAAAAUUAGCGGAUGACUUGUGGCUGGGGGUGAAAGGCCAAUCAAACCGGGAGAUA